This 1696-nucleotide long non-coding RNA is filed under the name Anser cygnoides (Swan goose). Its description in RNAcentral is "lncRNA (ENSACDG00005016603.1)". The record is from RNAcentral. Lineage: Eukaryota; Metazoa; Chordata; Aves; Anseriformes; Anatidae.
UCUUUACAGGAGCUAUUUUAAACCAGAAUCAUUAGAUGCAGUACUGUGUGUUAAUGGCAAUUAGCUUCUGACUACCGCUAAGGGUUCCUCAUCUACCAUUGACAUUAAUUAUUCUAUUUUGGCUCAUUGACUUGCAAAAUCACUAAAUGAUUCCUUUGUUACAAAACACCACAUUCAAAGAGCAUAUCUGAUGGAAACACAGGUCUGCUCAUCAUCUUAUUGCUAUUGAGAACUUGUCACUUUGGAGAAGAAUUGGAGAAAACAGAAAUUUUUGCAAAUGGUUUUCAAAAGAAAUUAAAGUUGUUAUAUUUAGAGUGUGUCUGCUUGUCACUCAUGCUUUAGCUGUCUUACAGUAGAGGGCAGAAGUGAAUUCUUUUCAAUUUGCAAUCUUCAGGCUUGUAAAUUGAAAAAUUCACAUCUGCCCUUUCUAGCUUAAGAAAGAUUGACAGCAAAAGGUCACAUUUUCAAAAUGAAUAUGUUAUGAAUUACCCCUUAUGUUGUAUCAUUAUUUUCAGAUUUUAUAUUGGCCCGCUGCAAUAGUUUUUGAGCACCCAGUAAUCUUUAACAUAGUUAUACUUGCAACACCUAUAUGACAGAGGGAAGUCCUAUUAUCUUUCUGUUUGUAACCAGAAAACCCAAUUGCAACAAGUCUUGUUGACUUGUCUGUGGUUGCAUGAGAAGUCUGUGAUAAAAUCAGUUGUCAUGUUACUAUACAAGUUGCUCGACCCCUGGUUAUGUUGUAGUGUCUUCUGCAAGGUGGGACUCCAUCUCUGUUUCUAAGGAUGAGGAUGCAGGUUUUAUCUCACUCUGUGUGCUUUCUGAUUUAUUGCUGUAAAAUUUCUGACAUAUUACCAUACAUUUGAAUGUUUUACAAGGUUUCUGACUUGAGGCACUGACGAACCAAGGAAACAGUCGACAAAGAUCAGCAGUCAGCUGGUGCAUGACAACAAACAAGAGCAGGAAUUCCAGAGAGCAGCAGGCUUGCCUCUAUUUAAGUGGAGUAAUGAGAGAACAGACAGCAGAAGAGCCAGGAACAGGUAGUAAUGGUUGGUGUGUGCCCAGUUAGAUAAUGUUUUAUCUCAGAGAGGGCUGGAAUGCCACGAGACAUCGAGUGAGGACAUACACAAUACAGAUCACUGGCAGGUUGUAGAGGUAUUUGCUGUGAUAUCAAAGAUAGAUGAUAUCUUCUGCACUGGUGGUUGCAUUUUGAGAAUUUCUUUCAAAAACUGUUUAUAGGUACAUAUCCUAAGGAGAGUAUCUCUUUUGGAUCCAGAGUGUGUAAAGUAACUUAAACAUAUAAUACUGUGUAGUGCUAGCGCUUCCCUAAGAUGCUGAACUCUAAGUGUGAGUUUUAAUCCUGACAGUCUGAAAUAGAGUCUAAAUGGUUAAAACCGGAGUACCUGACUUGUAUUGACUGUGUCCUGCAUUAGAUCUCAUUUGACAGUCUCCAGCUGUGGGAACUAGGACUGCUGCUGUGAUCUCCCUGUUAAACAGGUCAUUUUGAGCCAUUCAUUAUAGCUCACCACUUCCUGCAAGUAUAAGGAGUUUUUCAGGUAUCAAGCAAUGUAUAUUCUGUAGAGCUACUGCGAUCCUUCAUUUGAGAGGGGCUUGUCACAUCAGCCUGGCCGUGAAAGGCCUCUCCUUAAAUGUUUUAUUUUAAAAUAAAGUGUAGCUCAAGGCCUGGUAUGAUAACUUC